UACAGAGGGUGCAAGCGUUGUUCGGAAUCAUUGGGCGUAAAGGGCGCGUAGGCGGUCCUAUAAGUCGUAUGUGAAAGCCCAGGGCUCAACCUUGGAAGUGCAUAUGAUACUGCAGGACUAGAGUCCCGGAGAGGGUGGUGGAAUUCCCAGUGUAGAGGUGAAAUUCGUAGAUAUUGGGAGGAACACCGGUGGCGAAGGCGACCACCUGGACGGAGACUGACGCUGAGGCGCGAGAGCGUGGGGAGCAAACAGG
This 253-nucleotide ribosomal RNA is filed under the name uncultured bacterium. RNAcentral's name for it is "partial 16S ribosomal RNA". It matches the Rfam family "Bacterial small subunit ribosomal RNA", at positions 524 to 776 of the family's 1533-position model. The record is from RNAcentral.